UGGGGAAUAUUGGACAAUGGGGGAAACCCUGAUCCAGCGACGCCGCGUGUGUGAAGAAGGCCUGCGGGUUGUAAAGCACUUUUAGUGGGGACAAAAAGCUACGGAUUAACACUCUGUGGUCUUGAUUUAACCCAAAGAAAAAGCACCGGCUAACUCUGUGCCAGCAGCCGCGGUAAUACAGAGGGUGCGAGCGUUAAUCGGAAUUACUGGGCGUAAAGCGCGCGUAGACGGUUUUGUAAGUCAGAUGUGAAAUCCCUGGGCUCAACCUGGGAACUGCAUUUGGAACUGCAUGGCUAGAGUAUCGAAGAGGGAAGUGGAAUUUCCGGUGUAGCGGUGAAAUGCGUAGAUAUCGGAAGGAACACCAGUGGCGAAAGCGACUUCCUGGUCGAAUACUGACGUUCAUGUGCGAAAGCGUGGGGAGCAAACAGGAUUAGAUACCCUGGUAGUCCACGCCAUAAACGAUGACAACUAGAUGUUGGGAGGGUCUGCCUCUCGGUGUCGCAGCUAACGCGUUAAGUUGUCCGCCUGGGGAGUACGGCCGCAAGGUUG
This 549-nucleotide ribosomal RNA is filed under the name uncultured bacterium. Its description in RNAcentral is "bacterial SSU rRNA". It matches the Rfam family "Bacterial small subunit ribosomal RNA", at positions 355 to 896 of the family's 1533-position model. The record is from RNAcentral.